This 253-nucleotide ribosomal RNA is filed under the name uncultured bacterium. RNAcentral's name for it is "partial 16S ribosomal RNA". It matches the Rfam family "Bacterial small subunit ribosomal RNA", at positions 524 to 776 of the family's 1533-position model. The record is from RNAcentral.
UACGUAGGGUCCGAGCGUUGUCCGGAAUUACUGGGCGUAAAGAGCUCGUAGGUGGUUUGUCGCGUUGUCCGUGAAAACUCACAGCUUAACUGUGGGCGUGCGGGCGAUACGGGCAGACUGGAGUACUGCAGGGGAGACUGGAAUUCCUGGUGUAGCGGUGGAAUGCGCAGAUAUCAGGAGGAACACCGGUGGCGAGGGCGGGUCUCUGGGCAGUAACUGACGCUGAGGAGCGAAAGCGUGGGGAGCGAACAGG